UGACCGCUGGCGGCGUGCCUACUACAUGCAAGUCGAGCGAACGGACGAGAAGCUUGCUUCUCUGAUGUUAGCGGCGGACGGGUGAGUAACACGUGGAUAACCUACCUAUAAGACUGGGAUAACUUCGGGAAACCGGAGCUAAUACCGGAUGAUAUUUUGAACCGCAUGGUUCAAAAGUGAAAGACGGUCUUGCUGUCACUUAUAGAUGGAUCCGCGCUGCAUUAGCUAGUUGGUAAGGUAACGGCUUACCAAGGCAACGAUGCAUAGCCGACCUGAGAGGGUGAUCGGCCACACUGGAACUGAGACACGGUCCAGACUCCUACGGGAGGCAGCAGUAGGGAAUCUUCCGCAAUGGGCGAAAGCCUGACGGAGCAACGCCGCGUGAGUGAUGAAGGUCUUCGGAUCGUAAAACUCUGUUAUUAGGGAAGAACAUAUGUGUAAGUAACUGUGCACAUCUUGACGGUACCUAAUCAGAAAGCCACGGCUAACUACGUG
Molecule: ribosomal RNA, 495 nt
Filed under: uncultured bacterium
Lineage: Bacteria
Description: partial 16S ribosomal RNA
Rfam family: Bacterial small subunit ribosomal RNA
Source: RNAcentral